GGGUGUAUAGAUUAGUUGGUGGAGCAUCGGGAUUUUAACCUAAUGGUCGCAGGUUCGACUCCUACUAUACCCA
Molecule: non-coding RNA, 73 nt
Organism: Picea glauca (white spruce)
Lineage: Eukaryota; Viridiplantae; Streptophyta; Pinopsida; Pinales; Pinaceae
Source: Rfam